GCGGCUGUAGUCCAGUCUGGUCUAGGACAUUGGCCUCCCAAGCCAGUAACCCGGGUUCGAAUCCCGGCAGCCGCA
RNAcentral lists this transfer RNA (75 nucleotides) under Candidatus Freyarchaeota archaeon. RNAcentral describes it as "tRNA-Gly". It matches the Rfam family "tRNA". Rfam says of the family: Transfer RNA (tRNA) molecules are approximately 80 nucleotides in length. Their secondary structure includes four short double-helical elements and three loops (D, anti-codon, and T loops). RNAcentral also lists the same sequence under 2 other names. The record is from RNAcentral. Lineage: Archaea; Promethearchaeati; Candidatus Freyarchaeota.